Molecule: long non-coding RNA, 5866 nt
Filed under: Xyrichtys novacula (pearly razorfish)
Lineage: Eukaryota; Metazoa; Chordata; Actinopteri; Labriformes; Labridae
Source: RNAcentral
GCUUAAUAAAUUCAGCUCAUUGAGGACAUUAUGGGGUCUAAUCAGGAUUUUUUUUCAUUUACAUUGUCCCCAUUUUUCAAUCAUUCAUUGAAAAUGCAUUAUUUAGUUCUUCAAACUAAUUUAUUUCCUUCAAACUGAUUUAAACCGUUUUGAUUCUUCAAACCUCUUUUUCUUCCAGAUUUGUAACCUUUUAAUUCUCCAGUUUUAAAUAUUUUUUACUCUUAAUACAUUAUUCAGUUCUUUCAAACAAAUUCCAACUCAUUUAAACUGAUUCAAAACUUAUUGGUUCUUCAAGCCUUUCCCAUACUUCAGGGUUUUUAAUCAUUUUAAUUUUCAGAUGUUGAAUUUUCUAAAACUGUUAUUCAUGCAUUAUUCAAUUCAUUCAAUUGAGUUUAUUCCAAUUGAUUCAAAUCUUCCUGAUUCUUCAUACCUUUUGACCUUUCACAUAUUUUAAAAUUCAGCCAUUCGCAAUAGCAGCGUAGCGCUAGCAAUUUCAACUGAAGCAAUCCCACUCGCAAUUUCUUCAGAAAUUGCAUUUUCUAGUUAUUAUUAUUAUUAUUAUUCCGCCGUUUUUUGGCAGUCAACUACUUCCACAUACUUCAACGUAUUCAAACCAUUCAAACUUCAAAAGAUUCAUCUCGUUGAGGAGAUUCCGGCUUGUAUUCAAAAAUUUCCUAACAUUCAUACUUUCCGAGAUAUUCCAGGUUUUCCGACCGAUUUCUCCCAUUAGAAAUGCAUUACGGAAUGUUCAAAUUGGCUUCAAACUUCAAAAGCCUUCAGCUCCUCUAUACUUCCACAUAGAAACUUCAUUCAAAAACCAAAAUAUUCACAAAUUCGUCAGCAUUAUUCCACAUCUUCAACAUUUUUAAUCCCAUUUGUACGUUUCAAAAUAUUAAGAUUUGUUUAAAACUUCGUUAUAAUGGCAGUCAAUGGGAAAAGGGCUUCAGACGUAGUCAACUUCAACCUCUUCUCAUUCAUUCAUACUUUCACCUAGAAACUUCAUUCAAACUUUAAAAUAUUCACACAUCUUCAGACAUUCACUCAUUCAUUCACCAUCUUCAUGGCAUUCAUACUUUUCUCACAGUGACAGUUCAAAAAGUCCAAAGAUUUUCAUACCUGUUCAGGUUUUAACAUUAGUGUGUAUUGCACGGAAUGUUGGCAGCUAGAGUGGGUGACCUCACAGCUAGAGUGAGACAGGCUGAAAAUUAAUCCUCAAAACUUUGUCUUUACAAAAGGAUUGUGGCAACUCACUUCGCUCUACACAGAUAAAAAUUGGUACAGUGAUGGCAAAACUCGCUGUCACUCUUCAUCUAAAAAAUCAAAGCCAUAGGACACACACAGUGGCCUGGGCAGACACCAACUGCCACAGACAUCCCCCAAAUUUCUCCAGCUUUCUCCAUUGACUCCAAUGUAAACCUGAGAGGAGGAUUUUCAGAGGAAACACAAACUGGACAUGUUUUUAACUUGUCGUAGUGAAGGCAUUUUUGGCUCCACAGACACCGAAGUUGUAUCAACGUGUUCAGCCGGGUCUUGUGGUUCUCACAAGCUCAUUAUCAUGAAGAUAGCAGUUACAGAGGAUGAGAAAUAUGACGUUGUUUGGGCAUUACGUUCUCAGCCUCAAGCCUCCUUUCUCCUGCUGUUGUUAAGCAUCUAUCGUCACCAUGGCAACCAAAGGGAGCACCUGGAGACACACAGCUGGCUGGAAAGCUGCUUCUAACAGCCAUAUGAGACACAUGAAGCCAGGCUCAGUACACAGAGUACUGGGGGUUACAUUUAAAACCCUUCAAUAGAGUUAUUUGACGAACUUUGUCAUCUAUCUCUUCGCACAAACCUUGAGCUACAGAAACCAUCCAGCGCUUAAUAAAUUCAGCUCAUUGAGGACAUUAUGGGGUCAAAUCAGGAUUUUUUUUCAUUUACAUUGUCCCCAUUUUUCAAUCAUUCAUUGAAAAUAAAUUAUUUAGUUCUUCAAACUAAUUUAUUUCCUUCAAACUGAUUUAAACCGUUUUGAUUCUUCAAACCUCUUUUUCUUCCAGAUUUGUAACCUUUUAAUUCUCCAGUUUUAAAUAUUUUUUACUCUUAAUACAUUAUUCAGUUCUUUCAAACAAAUUCCAACUCAUUUACACUGAUUCAAAACUUAUUGAUUCUUCAAGCCUUUCCCAUACUUCAGGGUUUUUAAUCAUUUUAAUUUUCACACAUUGAAUUUUCUAAAAUUGUUAUUCAUGCAUUAUUCAAUUCAUUCAAUUGAGUUUAUUCCAAUUGAUUCAAAUCUUCCUGAUUCUUCAUACCUUUUGACCUUUCACAUAUUUUAAAAUUCAGCCAUUCGCAAUAGCAGCGUAGCGCUAGCAAUUUCAACUGAGGCAAUCCCACUCGCAAUUUCUUCAGAAAUUGCAUUUUCUAGUUAUUAUUAUUAUUCCGCCGUUUUUUGGCAGUCAACUACUUCCACAUACUUCAACGUAUUCAAACCAUUCAAACUUCAAAAGAUUCAUCUCAUUGAGGAGAUUCCGGCUUGUAUUCAAAAUUUUCCUAACAUUCAUACCUUCCGAGAUAUUCCAGGUUUUCCGACCGAUUUCUCCCAUUAGGAAUGCAUUACGGAAUGUUCAAAUUGGCCCUUUUCUCACAUUUUCUUCACACAACUUCAAAAGCCUUCAACUCCUUUAUACUUCCACGUAGAAACUUCAUUCAAAAACCAAAAUAUUCACAAAUUCGUCAGCAUUAUUCCACAUCUUCAACAUUUUUAAUCCCAUUUGUACUUUUCAAAAUAUUAAGAUUUGUUUAAAACUUCGUUAUAAUGGGAUUCAAUGGGAAAAGGCUUUCAGAUGUAGUCAACUUCAACCUCUUCUCAUUCAUUCAUGCUUUCACCUAGAAACUUCAUUCAAACUUUAAAAUAUUCACACAUCUUCAGACAUUCACUCAUUCAUUCACCAUCUUCAUGGCAUUCAUACUUUUCUCACAGUGACAGUUCAAAAAUUCACAUGAUUUUCUGGCCUGUUCAGGUUUUAACAUUAGUGUGUAUUGCACGGAAUGUUGGCCACUAGAGUGGGUGACCUCACAGCUAGAGUGAGACAGGCUGAAAAUUGAUCCUCAAAACUUUGUCUUUACAAAAGGAUUGUGGCAACUCACUUCGCUCUACACAGAUAAAAUUUGGUACAGUGAUGGCAAAACUCGCUGUCACUCUUCAUCUAAAAAAUCAAAGCCAUAGGACACACACAGUGGCCUGGGCAGACACCAACUGCCGCAGACAUCCCCCAGAUUUCUCCAGCUUUCUCCAUUGACUCCAAUGUAAACCUGAGAGGAGGAUUUUCAGAGGAAACACAAACUGGACAUGUUUUUAACUUGUCGUAGUGAAGGCAUUUUUGGCUCCACAGACACAGAAGUUGUAUCAACGUGUUCAGCCGGGCCUUGUGGUUCUCACAAGCUCCUUAUCAUGGAGAUAGCAGUUACAGAGGAUGAGGAAUAUGACGUUGUUUGGGCAUUACGUUCUCAGCCUCAAGCCUCCUUUCUCAUGCUGUUGUUAAGCAUCUGCUGUCACCAUGGCAACCAAAGGGAGCACCUGGAGACACACAGCUGGCUGGAAAGCUGCUUCUAACCGCCACAUGAGACACAUGAAGCCAGGCUCAGUACACAGAGUACUGGGGGUGACAUUUAAAACCUAUCUCUUCGCACAAACCUUGAGCUACAGAAACCAUCCAGGGCUUAAUAAAUUCAGCUCAUUGAGGACAUUAUGGGGUCUAAUCAGGAUUUUUAUUCAUUUACAUUGUCCCCAUUUUUCAAUCAUUCAUUGAAAAUGCAUGAUUUAGUUCUUCAAACUAAUUUAUUUCCUUCAAACUGAUGUAAACCGUUUUGAUUCUUCAAACCUCUUUUUCUUCCAGAUUUGUAACCUUUUAAUUUUCCAGUUUUAAAUCAUAUUUUACUCUUACUGCAUUAUUCAGUUCUUUCAAACAAAUUACAGCUCAUUUAAACUGAUUAAAACCUUAUUGAUUCUUCAAGCCUUUCCCAAACUUCAGGGUUUUUAAUCAUUUUAAUUUUCAAACGUGGAAAUUUCAAAAUUAUUAUUCAUGCAUUAUUCAAUUCAUUCAAUUGAGUUUAUUCCAAUUGAUUCAAAUCUUCCUGAUACGUCAUACCUUUUGACCUUUCACAUAUUUUUAAAAUUCAGCCAUUCGCAAUAGCAGCAUAGCGAUAGCAAUUUCAACUGAAGCAAUCCCACUCGCAAUUUCUUCAGAAAUUGCAUUUUCUAGUUAUUAUUAUUAUUAUUAUUCCGCCGUUUUUUGGCAGUCAACUUCUUCCACAUACUUCAACGUAUUCAAACCAUUCAAACUUCAAAAGAUUCGUCUCAUUCCGGAGAUUCCGGCUUGUAUUCAAAAAUUUCCAAACAUUCAUACUUUCCGAGAUAUUCCAGGUUUUCCGACCGAUUUCUCCCAUUAGAAAUGCAUUACGGAAUGUUCAAAUUGGCUUCAAACUUCAAAAGCCUUCAACUCCUCUAUACUUCCACGUAGAAACUUCAUUCAAAAACCAAAAUAUUCACAAAUUCGUCAUCAUUAUUCCACAUCUUCAACAUUUUUAAUCCCAUUUGUACUUUUCAAAAUAUUAAGAUUAGUUUAAAACUUCGUUAUAAUGGCAGUCAAUGGGAAAAGGGCUUCAGACGUAGUCAACUUCAACCUCUUCUCAUUCAUUCAUACUUUCACCUAGAAACUUCAUUCAAACUUUAAAAUAUUCACACAUCUUCAGACAUUCACUCAUUCAUUCACCAUCUUCAUGGCAUUCAUACUUUUCUCACAGUGACAGUUCAAAUAGUCCAAAGAUUUUCAGACCUGUUCAGGUUUUAACAUUAGUGUGUAUUGCACGGAAUGUUGGCCGCUAGAGUGGGUGACCUCACAGCUAGAGUGAGACAGGCUGAAAAUCGAUCCUCAAAACUUUGUCUUUACAAAAGGAUUGUGGCAACUCACUUCGCUCUAGACUGAUAAAAUUUGGUACAGUGAUCGCAAAACUAGCUGUCACUCUUCAUCUAAAAAAUCAAAGCCAUAGGACACACACAGUGGCCUGGGCAGACACCAACUGCCGCAGACAUCCCCCAGAUUUCUCCAGCUUUCUCCAUUGACUCCAAUGUAAACUUGAGAGGAGGAUUUUCAGAGGAAACACAAACUGGACAUGUUUUUAACUUGUCGUAGCGAAAGCAUUUUUGGCUCCACAAACACAGAAGUUGUAUCAACGUGUUCAGCCGGGCCUUGUGGUACUCACAAGCUCCUGAUCAUGAAGAUAGCAGUUACAGAGGAUGAGAAAUAUGACGUUGUUUGGGCAUUACAUUCUCAGCCUCAAGCCUCCUUUCUCCUGCUGUUGUUAAGCAUCUAUCGUCACCAUGGCAACCAAAGGGAGCACCUGGAGACACACAGCUGGCUGGAAAGCUGCUUCUAACAGCCAUAUGAGACACAUGAAGCCAGGCUCAGUACACAGAGUACUGGGAGUGACAUUUAAAACCCUUCAAUAGAGUUAUUUGACGAAAUUUGUCAUCUAUCUCUUCGCACAAACCUUGAGCUAUAGAAACCAUCCAGGGCUUAAUAAAUUCAGCUCAUUGAGGACAUUAUAGGGUCUAAUCAGGAUUUUUAUUCAUUUACAUUGUCCCCAUUUUUCAAUCAUUCAUUGAAAAAGCAUUAUUUAACUCUUCAAACUAAUUUAAACUCCUUCAAACUGAUUUAAACCGUUUUGAUUCUUCAAACUUCUUUUUCUUCCAGAUUUGUAACCCUUUAAUUUUCCAGUUUUAAAUAUUUUUUACUCUUAAUGCAUUAUUCAGUUCUUUCAAACAAAUUAUAACUCAUUUGAACUUGUCCUUCUUUCUUCUGCUGUAAUGAUGUAUUUACCUUCAGCAUGGCAA